UAACUGCGAAGUGAAGCGGGAAAAGCUCAAAUUUAAAAUCUGGCGUCCUCCGGGUGUCCGAGUUGUAAUCUGGAGAAGCGUUUUCCGCGUCGGACCGUGUACAAGUCUUCUGGAACGGAGCGUCAUAGAGGGUGAGAAUCCCGUCUCUGACACGGACUACCGAUGCUUUUGUGAUGCGCUCUCGAAGAGUCGAGUUGUUUGGGAAUGCAGCUCAAAAUGGGUGGUAAAUUCCAUCUAAAGCUAAAUAUUGGCCAGAGACCGAUAGCGAACAAGUACCGUGAGGGAAAGAUGAAAAGCACUUUGGAAAGAGAGUUAAACAGUACGUGAAAUUGUUGAAAGGGAAACGCUUGAAGUCAGUCGCGUUGGCCGAGACUCAGCCUGGCUUGCCUGGUGUACUUCUCGGUUGACGGGUCAGCAUCAGUUUUGACCGUCGGAUAAAGGUUGGAGGAAUGUGGCAUCCCUCGGGAUGUGUUAUAGCCUCUGAUUCGCAUACGGCGAUUGGGACUGAGGAACUCAGCACGCCUUUAUGGUCGGGGUUCGCCCACGUAACGUGUWUAGGAUGCUGGCAUAAUGGCUUUAAGCGACCCGUCUUGAAACACGGACCAAGGAGUCUAACAUGCCCGCGAGUGUUYGGGUGUUAAACCCGAGCGCGUAAUGAAAGUGAAAGUGAGAU
Molecule: ribosomal RNA, 673 nt
Filed under: Athelia abscondita
Lineage: Eukaryota; Fungi; Basidiomycota; Agaricomycetes; Atheliales; Atheliaceae
Description: partial large subunit ribosomal RNA
Source: RNAcentral